Molecule: small RNA, 133 nt
Filed under: Sinorhizobium meliloti 2011
Lineage: Bacteria; Pseudomonadati; Pseudomonadota; Alphaproteobacteria; Hyphomicrobiales; Rhizobiaceae
Description: putative ncRNA
Source: RNAcentral
ACGGCAUGCCCUGCCGGACCGUUCGGACGGGGGCUUAUAACCGCACAUCCCGGAAAAGGCAAGCGGUCCGGAGGCCGCUCGCGCGUAAGCCUUGCCAAAAAGGAAAGCCGCCCCACGAACUCCUCCCGGGGCG